GUAGGUGAACCUGCGGAAGGAUCAUUACCGAGUUAGGGUCUUUCAGGCCCGACCUCCAACCCCCUGUUUAAACUACCAUGUUGCUUUGGCGGGCCCGCCCCUUUUGGGGCCGCCGGGGGUUUCAUUGCCCUUGGCCAGUGCUCGCCAGUAGCCUACCUACAUUCUUUAUAUAACUGUGAUGUCUGAAGAUAAAUAUAAAUCGUUAAAAACUUUCAACAACGGAUCUCUUGGUUCUG
RNAcentral lists this unclassified non-coding RNA (236 nucleotides) under rhizosphere metagenome. Its description in RNAcentral is "partial ribosomal RNA internal transcribed spacer region". The record is from RNAcentral.